CUACAACUUUCAUGAAGAAAUGAAAUCCAAAUUCGAAGCCAAAAUACCUCAAAUCGGAUUAUGAAAUUAACAGUAGGCAAUCGUCAUCAAAUCAAAUGGGUCGGAAUCUCCACCGAACUAAAGCCUGUAAAACCCCCGCUCGAUGAAACUUCACCGGGAAGGUCGUCAAGUCACCAUCUUUUCUUCGAUGAUUGAAUAUGAGCUUCUUCUUACUUCUUGAUUUCUUUCUUGAUUUGGUAGAUGAUAUUUUU
This 251-nucleotide long non-coding RNA is filed under the name Erythranthe guttata (spotted monkey flower). RNAcentral's name for it is "long non-coding RNA (EGUT_LNC000171)". Lineage: Eukaryota; Viridiplantae; Streptophyta; Magnoliopsida; Lamiales; Phrymaceae. The record is from RNAcentral.